GAUGAACGCUGGCGGCGUGCCUAAUACAUGCAAGUCGAGCGAACGGACGAGAAGCUUGCUUCUCUGAUGUUAGUGGCGGACGGGUGAGUAACACGUGGAUAACCUACCUAUAAGACUGGGAUAACUUCGGGAAACCGGAGCUAAUACCGGAUAAUAUUUUGAACCGCAUGGUUCAAAAGUGAAAGACGGUCUUGCUGUCACUUAUAGAUGGAUCCUCGCUGCAUUAGCUAGUUGGUAAGGUAACGGCUUACCAAGGCAACGAUGCAUAGCCGACCUGAGAGGGUGAUCGGCCACACUGGAACUGAGACACGGUCCAGACUCCUACGGGAGGCAGCAGUAGGGAAUCUUCCGCAAUGGGCGAAAGCCUGACGGAGCAACGCCGCGUGAGUGAUGAAGGUCUUCGGAUCGUAAAACUCUGUUAUUAGGGAAGAACAUAUGUGUAAGUAACUGUGCACAUCUUGACGGUACCUAAUCAGAAAGCCACGGCUAACUACGUG
This 497-nucleotide ribosomal RNA is filed under the name uncultured bacterium. RNAcentral's name for it is "partial 16S ribosomal RNA". It matches the Rfam family "Bacterial small subunit ribosomal RNA", at positions 28 to 507 of the family's 1533-position model. The record is from RNAcentral.